RNAcentral lists this long non-coding RNA (219 nucleotides) under Homo sapiens (human). Its description in RNAcentral is "non-protein coding lnc-AGGF1-2:1". The record is from RNAcentral. Lineage: Eukaryota; Metazoa; Chordata; Mammalia; Primates; Hominidae.
AAUCUAUCCUGUGUGGAAUGGAUGGGAUGAGAGAUGGAUGGGCCCAGCCUUAGAAGCAAGAUCUAGACCUAUAAGUAUAGUCAACAGAAUGGAGAGGGAAGAACCCAGACUUCAGGAACCCAAUGUAGAGUCCUGCAUGACCCCUUGUUCACUAUCAAACUGACUUCCACAUACAGGAGCACGAAAGGCACAGGAAUGGAUGCCAAUAGACUCAUUAGC